AGUGAACGCUGGCGGUAGGCCUAACACAUGCAAGUCGAACGGCAGCACAGUAAGAGCUUGCUCUUACGGGUGGCGAGUGGCGGACGGGUGAGGAAUACAUCGGAAUCUACUUUUUCGUGGGGGAUAACGUAGGGAAACUUACGCUAAUCCCGCAUACGACCUACGGUUGAAAGCAGGGGAUCUUCGGACCUUGCGCGAUUGAAUGAGCCGAUGUCGGAUUAGCUAGUUGGCGGGGUAAAGGCCCACCAAGGCGACGAUCCGUAGCUGGUCUGAGAGGAUGAUCAGCCACACUGGAACUGAGACACGGUCCAGACUCCUACGGGAGGCAGCAGUGGGGAAUAUUGGACAAUGGGCGCAAGCCUGAUCCAGCCAUACCGCGUGGGUGAAGAAGGCCUUCGGGUUGUAAAGCCCUUUUGUUGGGAAAGAAAAGCAGCAGGUUAAUACCCCGCUGUUCUGACGGUACCCAAAGAAUAAGCACCGGCUAACUUCGUG
RNAcentral lists this ribosomal RNA (492 nucleotides) under uncultured bacterium. RNAcentral describes it as "partial 16S ribosomal RNA". It matches the Rfam family "Bacterial small subunit ribosomal RNA", at positions 29 to 507 of the family's 1533-position model. The record is from RNAcentral.